This is a long non-coding RNA of Grus americana (Whooping crane), 709 nucleotides long. RefSeq lists it as uncharacterized. NCBI's taxonomy places the organism in Eukaryota, Metazoa, Chordata, Aves, Gruiformes, Gruidae. The record is from RefSeq and is a predicted model, not a curated record. The transcript is spliced from 2 exons.
GUCGCCUCCGGCCUCUCCGAGCGGGAUGGUGACACCAGGACCCGGCCUGCAGGACCUCGCUGGCGGCGGUGAGUGGGGCCACCCCGGCCCUGCGGGACCCUGAGCUCCGGCCCGAGCUGGUCGCGCCCCAGAACGGCCCCAGCGGCUGCGCGGGGUACAAGCUGGGCUCCGGGUCCCGGCAGCCAUGCCCUUGUCUCCCUCCCGGGCAUGGAGCCGGGGCCCGGCGGGGCGGCGAAGCGCGGCGAGGGACCGGGACCGGGAGCGGGAGCGGCAGCACCGAGCCCAGCUCCAGCCGCAGUCGUUCUUCAGCUCCAGCUCUGUCACAUCUCAGCCGCAGCCCCACAGCAGUGAUUUCAGCUCCAACCCUGCCAUCCUGAUUUCAUCUCCCACCCUACAGUAGCUAUUGAACCCCAGGAUUUCCACUCCAGGCCUGUGCUGUUUCCCCUCCCACCCACCCACUCUUCAUUUCACCCCCCCCAGCCUCACAGACUUUCUUACGGCUCCAGCUCUGCGUUGUUUCAGCUCCAGCCCUGCAGUGUUUAGCUCAGCCUCAGCUCUACAUCUUCCUGCUGCCUCCGUGUUCUCACAGCAGCUCUGGGGGCUGUUGAUAAGGUAGUAAGUCAAUCACUGUCAUCACUCAACUAUCAAAACUGUCCCACUGUGUCUGUCCCCUGAAUAAAGUGUUCCUGUUGUGUGUGUCCCCAUUUCA